AUUAGAUACUCCUAACACUACAAGCAAAACAACUGUAUAACAGUAAACUACUAUGCUACACUUNUAAGUUAAGUUUUACUAAUAUACACAUUACAAUCUUUUGUAUACAAUUAGAUACUCCUAACACUACAAGCAAAACAAAUGUAUGACAGCAAAGGACACUAUGCUACACUAUUAAGAUACUCCUAACACAACAAGCAAAGCAACUGUAUAACAGUAAAGUACUAUGCUACACUUUUAAGAUACUCCUAACACAACUAGCAAAGCAACUAUAUAACAGUAAACUACUAUGCUACACUAUUAAGAUACUCCUAACACAAGAAGCAAAGCAACUAUAUAACCGUAAAGGACACUACGCUACACUAUUAAGAUACUCCUAACUCAGCAAGCAAAACAACUGUAUAACAGUAAACUACUAUGCUACACUUUUAAG
Long non-coding RNA from Amphimedon queenslandica, 433 nucleotides. RefSeq lists it as uncharacterized. The transcript has 5 exons. Lineage: Eukaryota; Metazoa; Porifera; Demospongiae; Haplosclerida; Niphatidae. The record is from RefSeq and is a predicted model, not a curated record.